GCUGGGCACGGUGCCUGUAGUCCCAGCUACUCGGGAGGCUGAAGCUGGAGGAUCGCUUGAGUCCAGGAGUUCUAGGCUGCAGUGUGCUAUGCGGAUCGGGUGUCCACACUAAGUUCGGCUUCGUUAUGGUGACCUCCCAGGAGCGGGGGACCACCAGGUUGCCUAAGAAGGGGUGAAGCGGUCCAGGUCGGAAACAGAGCAGGUCAAAACUCCCGUGCUGGGCCGGGCGCGAUGGCUCACGCCUAUAAUCCCAGCACUUUGGGAGGCCGAGGCGGUGGAUCACGAGAUCAAGAGAUCGAGACCAUCCUGGUCAACAAGGUGAAACCCCGUCUCUA
This is an unclassified non-coding RNA of Callithrix jacchus (white-tufted-ear marmoset), 335 nucleotides long. It matches the Rfam family "Metazoan signal recognition particle RNA". From Rfam's summary of the family: The signal recognition particle (SRP) is a universally conserved ribonucleoprotein. NCBI's taxonomy places the organism in Eukaryota, Metazoa, Chordata, Mammalia, Primates, Cebidae. The record is from Ensembl.